CACUCCUUGGUAUACUCAACCAUCUGAGUAGCGUAUUCCACACUUUAGCUGCAUAAUCACAUUGGAAGAAUAGAUGUUCCACAUUUUCCUCAAUGUUAUACGCAGAACAAAUGUUCCAUCCACUAGUAACUUCUAUUUAAUCAACCUAUCCUUGGUGGAAAUUCAAUUCUUGAUGGCCAAUCUUUGUAUAAAUAUCCAUUUUACAACCCCGUAGUUAUGCACAUAAACCUUUU
Molecule: long non-coding RNA, 233 nt
Filed under: Capsicum annuum
Lineage: Eukaryota; Viridiplantae; Streptophyta; Magnoliopsida; Solanales; Solanaceae
Description: long non-coding RNA (CANN_LNC008628)
Source: RNAcentral